This 540-nucleotide ribosomal RNA is filed under the name Amanita muscaria (fly agaric). RNAcentral describes it as "eukaryotic LSU rRNA". It matches the Rfam family "Eukaryotic large subunit ribosomal RNA", at positions 104 to 629 of the family's 3401-position model. The record is from RNAcentral. Lineage: Eukaryota; Fungi; Basidiomycota; Agaricomycetes; Agaricales; Amanitaceae.
CAGCUCAAAUUUAAAAUCUGGCAGUGUUUUGCUGUCCGAGUUGUAAUCUAGAGAAGUGCUGCCCGUGCUGGACCAUGUACAAGUCUCCUGGAAUGGAGCGUCACAGAGGGUGAGAAUCCCGUCUUUGACAUGGACUACCAGUGCAUUUGUGGUGUGCUCUCAAAGAGUCGAGUUGUUUGGGAAUGCAGCUCUAAAUGGGUGGUAAACUCCAUCUAAAGCUAAAUAUUGGCGAGAGACCGAUAGCGAACAAGUACCGUGAGGGAAAGAUGAAAAGAACUUUGGAAAGAGAGUUAAACAGUAUGUGAAAUUGUUGAAAGGGAAACGCUUAAAGUCAGUCGUGUCGGCCAGGGAUCAACUCAGCUUUCUCUGCUGGGUGUACUUCCUGAUCUGAUGGGCCAACAUCAGUUUUGACUGCUGGAGAAGGGCAGAGGGAAUGUGGCACCUUCGGGUGUGUUAUAGCUCUCUGUCAGAUGCAGUGGUUGGGACUGAGGAAAGCAGCAUGCCGCAAGGCCGGGUCGUUUCGACCACGUUCAUUGCUGA